GCAGUCGAGCGGACAGAUGGGAGCUUGCUCCCUGAUGUUAGCGGCGGACGGGUGAGUAACACGUGGGUAACCUGCCUGUAAGACUGGGAUAACUCCGGGAAACCGGGGCUAAUACCGGAUGGUUGUUUGAACCGCAUGGUUCAAACAUAAAAGGUGGCUUCGGCUACCACUUACAGAUGGACCCGCGGCGCAUUAGCUAGUUGGUGAGGUAACGGCUCACCAAGGCAACGAUGCGUAGCCGACCUGAGAGGGUGAUCGGCCACACUGGGACUGAGACACGGCCCAGACUCCUACGGGAGGCAGCAGUAGGGAAUCUUCCGCAAUGGACGAAAGUCUGACGGAGCAACGCCGCGUGAGUGAUGAAGGUUUUCGGAUCGUAAAGCUCUGUUGUUAGGGAAGAACAAGUACCGUUCGAAUAGGGCGGUACCUUGACGGUACCUAACCAGAAAGCCACGGCUAACUACGUGCCAGCAGCCGCGGUAAUACGUAGGUGGCAAGCGUUGUCCGGAAUUAUUGGGCGUAAAGGGCUCGCAGGCGGUUUCUUAAGUCUGAUGUGAAAGCCCCCGGCUCAACCGGGGAGGGUCAUUGGAAACUGGGGAACUUGAGUGCAGAAGAGGAGAGUGGAAUUCCACGUGUAGCGGUGAAAUGCGUAGAGAUGUGGAGGAACACCAGUGGCGAAGGCGACUCUCUGGUCUGUAACUGACGCUGAGGAGCGAAAGCGUGGGGAGCGAACAGGAUUAGAUACCCUGGUAGUCCACGCCGUAAACGAUGAGUGCUAAGUGUUA
RNAcentral lists this ribosomal RNA (785 nucleotides) under Bacillus cabrialesii. Its description in RNAcentral is "bacterial SSU rRNA". It matches the Rfam family "Bacterial small subunit ribosomal RNA", at positions 57 to 825 of the family's 1533-position model. The record is from RNAcentral. Lineage: Bacteria; Bacillati; Bacillota; Bacilli; Caryophanales; Bacillaceae.